This 449-nucleotide ribosomal RNA is filed under the name uncultured bacterium. RNAcentral's name for it is "partial 16S ribosomal RNA". It matches the Rfam family "Bacterial small subunit ribosomal RNA", at positions 29 to 523 of the family's 1533-position model. The record is from RNAcentral.
AGCGAACGCUGGCGGCAGGCUUAACACAUGCAAGUCGAACGGGCACUUCGGUGUCAGUGGCAGACGGGUGAGUAACACGUGGGAACGUACCUUUUGGUUCGGAACAACACAGGGAAACUUGUGCUAAUACCGGAUAAGCCCUUACGGGGAAAGAUUUAUCGCCGAAAGAUCGGCCCGCGUCUGAUUAGCUAGUUGGUGAGGUAAUGGCUCACCAAGGCGACGAUCAGUAGCUGGUCUGAGAGGAUGAUCAGCCACAUUUGGACUGAGACACGGCUCAAACUCCUACGGGAGGCAGCAGUGGGGAAUAUUGGACAAUGGGCGCAAGCCUGAUCCAGCCAUGCCGCGUGAGUGAUGAAGGCCCUAGGGUUGUAAAGCUCUUUUGUGCGGGAAGAUAAUGACGGUACCGCAAGAAUAAGCCCCGGCUAACUUCGUGCCAGCCGCCGCGGUAA